CCUGCCAUUUUCCCCUGUCAAUUACAUGACACGCACACAUAUAUAUACAGCACUGGAUGUGCCAAUGUUGAGAGCAACUGUAUCUUAUGCUGGUUAGAUGCUUUGAUGAGUAACUAAUAACUAUACUCCAACUUAACAAUCAAGGGGUGUUUCUGUGAGGCUUAAUAAUAUAAUCGUAUCGGCCAUGGACGUUAUCCUCCCGCCUAGGUGUAGUCAUUCUCGAGUUCAUUUUUCCAUCAAUCUAUUUUAAACGCCGGAAAAACCUUAGCCAGACAAACACGCUCCCUUUUCAAACCCAAUGUUCAACUGUUGCUGACCAGGCCACCACAAAUGUUGCCUUCUCGCGGGCCAAGCCACUAUCAAACCCAUUAGAAGCUUGAUCAUAGACGAUCUUAUAACUUCUUGAGGAACCUUAGGCGGAGAUGGGUGUUGGGAGCUAGAAAAUUGCAGCUAUAGCCAAGAAGAGAGCUCAUGCUUGGUGAUUAGUUUUGUGAAGAGUCAGAUUUAUUGACGAAACAAUUUGCCAUCUGAAGUUGGCUAUUCUUUUUCCUCUCAUCAACAAUGGCCCAUAGAUGCCGGCAGGGGAGGCAGCUAAGAGUGGUGGCGGCUGGCCGUGGAUCACACAAGACACUUGUUGGAUUUGUAGCUUGUGGGUAAAGUUACUUAUUAUGUGAGCAUAGCUUUAUCUAGACUGACCGGAGGAAAACAUAAUCCUAAUGAAUAAAGUGCAGUAAUCCAUAUCGGGUGACUGUUAGAACAUUUGCGAUGUGGGAGAACACUUGUUGCGAAGUAGGUGAAUGGAGAUGUUCAAAGAAUGAGAGAUAUCAAGUGCCUGGGCUAGCUAUAGCUAGAGGCAUCCAGCCAUAUUUGGAGCAUGAAUGAGAUGGAUGCUGCUCUUGGGGAGAAGCAGAACUUGGGAGUCGAUCACGAUGGUUGUCUUAAUAUUCAUUUAGAGGAAUAGUUAGGGGUAAUCAAAUUAAGCAGUGGACCAGACUUGGCAUGCAGACGCAACAUUGGAAGAGUGAGAAGAUUUUACCCAACACCUUCAUGGCCAAGAACUCGAGGGUAAACCGGCUGCAACGCCAACAAAUUGGAGAAGAGUAAAUUACAUGACAGAAAAAAAAAAGUAAAGAAGAGGAGAGAGUAGAGUAGAGAGAGAAGUGAACUAACAAAAGGGAAACCCUGGGAGCAUAUGACAUCCGUGUGGCAAACACUGGCAAACAACAUCUUCAGCCUCACUUCACUCCCCUUGGGGGGAUCCACUUGAAUCUCCUCCACUUUCCAUUCCUCCUCUGCUCCCCAGCACACCACUCCUUUGCAUGUUAUCACUUGUGAGCUGCUCAUCUCCUUCUCUCUAUUAUGGUCUUGCUUUUCUUUUUCUCUCAGCACAAAGUAUCAAUAUGCUUAAACUGGAUGUCUAUACAUAAAUAUAUAGAUAAUCACCUUCACCU
Molecule: long non-coding RNA, 1451 nt
Organism: Syzygium oleosum
Lineage: Eukaryota; Viridiplantae; Streptophyta; Magnoliopsida; Myrtales; Myrtaceae
Exons: 2
Source: RefSeq, a predicted model, not a curated record